UACGUAGGGCGCAAGCGUUGUCCGGAAUUAUUGGGCGUAAAGAGCUCGUAGGCGGCCUGUUGCGUCCGCUGUGAAAUCCCGGGGCUCAACCCCGGGCCUGCAGUGGAUACGGGCUGGCUAGAGGCAGGCAGGGGAGAACGGAAUUCCUGGUGUAGCGGUGAAAUGCGUAGAUAUCGGGAGGAACACCUGUGGCGAAAGCGGCGCACUGGACCAUAACUGACGCUGAUGCGCGAAAGCUAGGGGAGCAAACAGG
Molecule: ribosomal RNA, 253 nt
Filed under: uncultured bacterium
Lineage: Bacteria
Description: partial 16S ribosomal RNA
Rfam family: Bacterial small subunit ribosomal RNA
Source: RNAcentral